ACUUCAGUAUCAGCUCGAUAGAGCAAAAGAGAGAGAGGACGAGAGAGGGGGGUGAGGAGAAAAGAGAGAGAGAGCGCGAGAGGGAGAGGGAGAGAAGGAGGGGUGGGAAUUACACAAAGAGAGAACCAAAAAUAAUUUUGAUUCCUAAGUUAAUUUGCUCACUGAUCUGGGAUUUUAGUCACCAUGGAGGGUAAAUGGACAAUCUGCCCAGGACUGCAGCCCGAUACUAUUUUUCAAAGCCAGAACUUACUCCAUUUUCUAUGCAAAUGUCAGAAAAAUGAAACACCCUCUCUCCCAAGUCAGAGAAGGGGAAGCAACGGCUCUCACGUUGGGACAAUAUUAUCUGGAAGCUGAAGAAGAAACUGAAUACUCCUUCCUUCCUCCCUCCCUACCCAUUCCUUUAAAUCCGGAGGGGGAAAAAAUCCCAAGGUCUGCAAAGCAAAUCUCCUUGGACCGGCUGUUGGGGGAAAAA
Molecule: small RNA, 472 nt
Filed under: Pan troglodytes (chimpanzee)
Lineage: Eukaryota; Metazoa; Chordata; Mammalia; Primates; Hominidae
Description: processed transcript
Source: RNAcentral